AGGGUGGUAUGGGAAUGAAAGUGUUUGUGUGUGUGUGUGUGUGUGUGUGUGUGUGUGUGUGUGUGUGUAUGAGAGAGACAAAGAGGGACAGAGGCAGAGAGAGGCAGGCUUCUAUUUGUGUCCACAGAUCUUUCCUUGGCCUUUGGCUCCCAGGGACACCCUUCCCAGAGCUCUUGGCCUAGCUCUGAACUCUAUGGGCCUCUCCCUGCUCCCCUCUGGGCUCGGAGCUUCUGCACUUCAGCCCCACAAGUGUUUCCCUGUUCCUGCAGCAGCUCCCCGCCUGGACUUUGUUCUUCCGAAGACUGCCCUAAGCUUGGCCUCCAGAAGGACACUUGAUCCCAUCCCAUGGCUGGCAGUGGCGCGCAGCCCUUGGAGCAGCUGCAAGGAUGGUGUUGACUCCAGAUGGAAAGUGUUUCGAGAAUUCUGACGUGACAUCAUCACGACAUUGCACUGACAGUAACUGAUCUGGGAGUGGCCAGGCCAGUCACCAUGCCUGAGGAUGCUCCAGCAGCUCUACGGAGAAGUCCGUGAACGGAGGAGCUGAGACCUUCUGCCAAUAGCCGUGUGUGGAAGUCAUUUCAGACAGACAUGGAUCUUCCAGCCCCAGUCAAGUCUCCACAUGACUAAAGAUCCUGCCAACAUCUUGACUGCAACCCGAGGAACCACCCAAGCCAGAACCCCCCAGCUAAGCCACUUUCAAAUUCCUGAUUUACAGAAGCCAUGAGCUAAUAAAUGUUGAUUGUUUGAAGCCACCAAGUUUUGGGGUGAUAUGCUAUGUGGCCAGGGCUGGGACUAGGGUGAAGUAAGUGAGGAACCCAGGGCAUAAAAUUUGAGGCCCAACCCUGAGAGUGAGCUUCUCUGUAAAUUGUGUGCUUUAGGUUCCUCACUCACUUCCCUGUUGUCUCGACCUUGUGUCUGGCACUACAUCACCUUCCAUGCCUCUUCCCAUUUCCCAACAUUCUCCAGCUUGCCCUUGGGGAUCCUUGGGGUUCUGAAGAAGCUGACUCCAUCGCUGGUUCCAAGGGUGGGGUUUGUGACUAAGCCGGUCCGCGCAUUCCAGUAGCCUUAGGUCUCAGCGACUAGAUCAGCUGUGGCCUGUGACCUAGUCCUGUCCAACCACAGGAGAGAGCAUUUUGUGAAGGAUGCUGGGACAGAUAUGAUUCCACUCUUGUCAUCAAACAAGGCAAAGGAAAGCACAAAUGUGAUGUUAAACACACAGAGGAGACCCCACAUCAGUUACUCAUACAGAUGCUGCCAAGGAUCCAGCUGUUUCCCACUGUGCAGAGCUCAGCAAGGACGUUGCUGCAUGUUCUGGUGCCAGAAGAGUUCAGACCUACAGAAGCUUCACAUUGGCAGGUGCUUCCAUGGUUGCAGAGGCAGGGGAAGGAAAUUCAGCCAACUGCUCAUCAGCUAUUAAGGCUUCUGCCCAGAGGUGACACAUGACUCUUCUGCUUACAAUUUACAUCCGUGCCUGAUUUUAAAGGUGGAAGAGUCUUGCCAUGCUACUGUAUGCAUGAAAAGAGGAGAAACAGGAAUGUUUGUGGUCACUCUUACUCAUGUCCAGAGAGAGGGCAGCUGCUGGUCCCUAGAGCCACUUCAGGCUCCAGAAGUUUGGAGUUCAUGAGGCUCUGCUGCAUUGUGGCCCAAGAUCUUCAUCACCCUUACAGCUCCACACAUGCCUUACAAAGCCCACCAGCCUCUACACACACCUUUGCUUAUUUCUUGUAACUUAAGACCUCACUCCAGGGACUUCAUAUUUCCUUUGAAUGCUCCUUUCUCAACUGGGGACUCCCUCUCUCAGAAAC
Long non-coding RNA from Canis lupus familiaris (dog), 1805 nucleotides. RefSeq lists it as uncharacterized. The record is from RefSeq and is a predicted model, not a curated record. NCBI's taxonomy places the organism in Eukaryota, Metazoa, Chordata, Mammalia, Carnivora, Canidae. The transcript has 4 exons.